UGAACGCUGGCGGCGUGCCUACUACAUGCAAGUCGAGCGAACAGACGAGGAGCUUGCUCCUCUGACGUUAGCGGCGGACGGGUGAGUAACACGUGGAUAACCUACCUAUAAGACUGGGAUAACUUCGGGAAACCGGAGCUAAUACCGGAUAAUAUAUUGAACCGCAUGGUUCAAUAGUGAAAGACGGUUUUGCUGUCACUUAUAGAUGGAUCCGCGCCGCAUUAGUUAGUUGGUAAGGUAACGGCUUACCAAGGCAACGAUGCGUAGCCGACCUGAGAGGGUGAUCGGCCACACUGGAACUGAGACACGGUCCAGACUCCUACGGGAGGCAGCAGUAGGGAAUCUUCCGCAAUGGGCGAAAGCCUGACGGAGCAACGCCGCGUGAGUGAUGAAGGUCUUCGGAUCGUAAAACUCUGUUAUUAGGGAAGAACAAAUGUGUAAGUAACUAUGCACGUCUUGACGGUACCUAAUCAGAAAGCCACGGCUAACUACGUG
Molecule: ribosomal RNA, 495 nt
Filed under: uncultured bacterium
Lineage: Bacteria
Description: partial 16S ribosomal RNA
Rfam family: Bacterial small subunit ribosomal RNA
Source: RNAcentral